UACAGAGGAGCCAAGCGUUGUCCGGAUUGACUGGGCGUAAAGCGCACGCAGGCGGGUGUGCGCGUGGGGUGUGAAAUCUGGCCGCUUAACGGCCAGGCGCCAUCCCAUACGGCACGCCUGGAGUGAUGCAGAGGUCGAUGGAAUUGCCGGUGUAGUGGUGAAAUACAUAGAGAUGUCAUAGAACACCGAUUGCGAAGGCAGCUCACAAAACUGUAACUGACACUGAGGCUCGAAAGUGCGGGGAUCAAACAGG
RNAcentral lists this ribosomal RNA (253 nucleotides) under uncultured bacterium. Its description in RNAcentral is "partial 16S ribosomal RNA". It matches the Rfam family "Bacterial small subunit ribosomal RNA", at positions 524 to 776 of the family's 1533-position model. The record is from RNAcentral.